CCUACGGGAGGCUGCAGUGGGGAAUAUUGCGCAAUGGGCGAAAGCCUGACGCAGCGACGCCGCGUGAGGGAUGAAGGUCUUCGGAUCGUAAACCUCUGUCAGCAGGGAAGAACGGUCACUGUGCUAAUCAGCAGUGAAUUGACGGUACCUGCAAAGGAAGCACCGGCUAACUCCGUGCCAGCAGCCGCGGUAAUACGGAGGGUGCGAGCGUUAAUCGGAAUUACUGGGCGUAAAGCGCUCGUAGGCGGUAUGUCAAGUCAAGGGUGAAAUCCCCGCGCGCAACGUGGGAACUGCUUUUGAAACUGGCAGACUGGAGUGUGUGAGAGGAUAGUGGAAUUCCAGGUGUAGGAGUGAAAUCCGUAGAUAUAUGGAGGAACAUCAGUGGCGAAGGCGACUAUCUGGCACAUAACUGACGCUGAGGAGCGAAAGCGUGGGUAGCAAACAGGAUUAGAUACCCGGGUAGUC
RNAcentral lists this ribosomal RNA (465 nucleotides) under uncultured bacterium. RNAcentral's name for it is "partial 16S ribosomal RNA". It matches the Rfam family "Bacterial small subunit ribosomal RNA", at positions 338 to 795 of the family's 1533-position model. The record is from RNAcentral.